ACAUAUUAACAUGCACGUGGCAUUAUAGGUCAAAUCCAUUCUGUAUUUCACACCAACUCGUCAGAUUCCAUACGACCAGUUUUCUACGAUCACCGGAUCUGAAGCUCUCAAAUACCCAAUCAAAUUCUUUUUCUCUCAGCUACGAAUUGCGAAUUCCCAAUUCUUGCUCGGAAUUGGGUUAUUCGGGAUGGGGAAAGGAGGAGGCUGUGUUCCAAGCAAGAACAAACGCCCUGCCGUUGCUGAAGACCCCCAACGAUCAUCUGUCGACGCGCCGAUCCCUAUUGAGGAAAAUGCUGAUAACAAUGCCGCCGUCGCAAUCGAUUCCACCUCACAAUUGAAGAUAUUCAUUGUGUUUUACUCGAUGUACGGUCACGUGGAGGGGUUGGCCAGGCGGAUGAAGAAGGGAGUCGACGGAGUAGAAGGAGUGCAGGCUGUUUUGUAUCGGGUUCCGGAGACCUUACCGGCUGAUGUGUUGGAACACAUGAAGGCACCACCGAAGGACCCUGAGGUUCCGGAGAUAACGGCCGCGGAAUUGACGGAUGCCGAUGGGGUUUUGUUCGGGUUUCCGACGAGGUACGGGUGCAUGGCCGCACAGAUGAAGUCGUUCUUUGACUCUACCGGGCAUUUGUGGAAAGAGCAGAAGCUUGCUGGAAGGCCUGCUGGAUUCUUCGUGAGUACCGGGACACAAGGUGGCGGCCAAGAAACAACAGCAUGGACAGCAAUUACCCAGUUGGCUCACCAUGGAAUGCUAUAUGUUCCUGUUGGUUACACCUUUGGAGCUGGUAUGUUUAAGAUGGAUUCUAUACGAGGCGGUUCUCCAUAUGGUGCUGGUGUUUAUGCUGGUGAUGGCUUGAGAGAGCCAAGUGAAUCGGAGCUGGCACUUGCAGAACAUCAGGGCAAAUAUAUGGCUACAGUGGUGAAGAAGCUUGCUCAGGCUUGAUGAUUUUGUUCCCAAUCUGUUGAACACUUAUGGUCUCUUUCUCUGGGUCAUCUAUUUGAAUACAUUUGUUUGUAAUUGGUCUUGUGUCAAAUAUGAGGAUUAUUACCGUUUAUACUAGCUCCAUUUUUUGUUCAUACAUUGCUUACAAUUUCAAUUUGUACAUGAUUUGAAAUUCUCAUACCUGAUUAAAUAAUGUUGUGAAUCUCUGCUGUGUCUCCUUAAUGUAAUACAUUUUGCUCUGGUUUUAAGUCAUUUCAGACUACUCAUAGUGCAUUUGGAUUUGUG
RNAcentral lists this unclassified non-coding RNA (1225 nucleotides) under Hevea brasiliensis (rubber tree). The record is from RNAcentral. Lineage: Eukaryota; Viridiplantae; Streptophyta; Magnoliopsida; Malpighiales; Euphorbiaceae.